This 747-nucleotide long non-coding RNA is filed under the name Gallus gallus (chicken). The record is from RNAcentral. Lineage: Eukaryota; Metazoa; Chordata; Aves; Galliformes; Phasianidae.
CGGCGCACGGUGCAGCGGUGACACAUCCACUCCCCUGGAGGCAGCAUUUCCUCGCUGAGCGGAGGGUUGCAGCACUGGAGGUGGAAAGCGGCGGGGCAGUGAUCGCAGCACAGCAGGUCCCCUCCUUCCUUGCAGCUAUCGCAGCUGUCGUGGUUAGUGGCCCUGCCACUUCUCCUGGGCUCCUUCUCAGGCCUCCUGCUCCUCUUCUCCCCAUCUUCGCUCUUAGGGGGAGCCAGCAGGGCCUGGAUUUGCUCCAUCAGCCCCCCGGAGGUGUCCAGGUCGUAGACGAUCGUCUUCGUCUCCAUCUUCUCCCACAUUCAUCCAGCCCGGGGGGAGCGGCCCCGAGAGACCCCCCCCACCCCACCGCGAGGGAGCGGACGGAGGGACGGGGAGCGGCGGCGGCGGCGGCGGCGGGAGCCCCACUCAGCGGCCUCGAGAGGGGAGCGAGGUGGAGCGGGCGGCGGCGAGGCCUAACCCACGGGCCGCUGCGCUGCUCGGCCGGGAGUCCUCCGCCUCCUGCCGCCGGGCCCGGGGGAGGCUGCGGGGGGCCCCGCGCCCGCUGCCAUGCCGCGCACAGGAGGGCCGGGGCCGGCCCCGCUCCGCCGCCUCACGACGCCCGGCCCCGCACCGCUCAGGCGCCGCCGCGCUCUGCCGCUCUGCCCCUCUCUCCCUCUCCCUCUCUCUCUCAGGGCCCCGCCGUCGCCGCCGCCGCCGCGCCGCCCGCGCACGCGCAGACCGCGCCCCGCC